RNAcentral lists this ribosomal RNA (41 nucleotides) under uncultured Helotiales. RNAcentral's name for it is "partial 18S ribosomal RNA". Lineage: Eukaryota; Fungi; Ascomycota; Leotiomycetes; Helotiales. The record is from RNAcentral.
AUAGGUUCGGCUCUCGUAGGUGAGCUGCGGAGGGAUCAUUA